GAGUUUGAUCAUGGCUCAGAUUGAACGCUGGCGGCAUGCCUUACACAUGCAAGUCGAACGGCAGCACGGGAGCUUGCUCCUGGUGGCGAGUGGCGAACGGGUGAGUAAUGCAUCGGAACGUAUCCUGGAGUGGGGGAUAACGUAGCGAAAGUUACGCUAAUACCGCAUAUUCUGUGAGCAGGAAAGCGGGGGACCUUCGGGCCUCGCGCUCUUGGAGCGGCCGAUGUCGGAUUAGCUAGUUGGUGAGGUAAAGGCUCACCAAGGCGACGAUCCGUAGCAGGUCUGAGAGGAUGAUCUGCCACACUGGAACUGAGACACGGUCCAGACCUCCUACGGGAGGCAGCAGUGGGGAAUUUUGGACAAUGGGGGCAACCCUGAUCCAGCCAUGCCGCGUGAGUGAAGAAGGCC
RNAcentral lists this ribosomal RNA (408 nucleotides) under bacterium enrichment culture clone ALO1_GLFRUDD03F0ZCY. RNAcentral's name for it is "bacterial SSU rRNA". It matches the Rfam family "Bacterial small subunit ribosomal RNA", at positions 9 to 416 of the family's 1533-position model. The record is from RNAcentral.